RNAcentral lists this ribosomal RNA (496 nucleotides) under uncultured bacterium. Its description in RNAcentral is "partial 16S ribosomal RNA". It matches the Rfam family "Bacterial small subunit ribosomal RNA", at positions 29 to 507 of the family's 1533-position model. The record is from RNAcentral.
AUGAACGCUGGCGGCGUGCCUAAUACAUGCAAGUCGCGCGAACAGACGAGGAGCUUGCUCCUCUGACGUUAGCGGCGGACGGGUGAGUAACACGUGGAUAACCUACCUAUAAGACUGGGAUAACUUCGGGAAACCGGAGCUAAUACCGGAUAACAUGUUGAACCGCAUGGUUUAACAGUGAAAGACGGUCUUGCUGUCACUUAUAGAUGGAUCCGCGCCGCAUUAGCUAGUUGGUAAGGUAACGGCUUACCAAGGCAACGAUGCGUAGCCGACCUGAGAGGGUGAUCGGCCACACUGGAACUGAGACACGGUCCAGACUCCUACGGGAGGCAGCAGUAGGGAAUCUUUCGCAAUGGGCGAAAGCCUGACGGAGCAACGCCGCGUGAGUGAAGAAGGUCUUCGGAUCGUAAAACUCUGUUAUUAGGGAAGAACAAAUGUGUAAGUAACUAUGCACGUCUUGACGGUACCUAAUCAGAAAGCCACGGCUAACUACGUG